GAGUUGAUGAUGAUAAUUUACUUUAUCUUAGCGGAUUUCACUGAGAUCAAUUAUCUGAUUGUUACACACACUAAAGCUC
This 79-nucleotide small nucleolar RNA is filed under the name Spinacia oleracea (spinach). Its description in RNAcentral is "Small nucleolar RNA R11/Z151". It matches the Rfam family "Small nucleolar RNA R11/Z151". From Rfam's summary of the family: snoR11/Z151 is a member of the C/D class of snoRNA which contain the C (UGAUGA) and D (CUGA) box motifs. Most of the members of the box C/D family function in directing site-specific 2'-O-methylation of substrate RNAs. Lineage: Eukaryota; Viridiplantae; Streptophyta; Magnoliopsida; Caryophyllales; Amaranthaceae. The record is from Rfam by way of RNAcentral.